This 73-nucleotide transfer RNA is filed under the name Trichonephila inaurata madagascariensis. It matches the Rfam family "tRNA". Rfam says of the family: Transfer RNA (tRNA) molecules are approximately 80 nucleotides in length. Their secondary structure includes four short double-helical elements and three loops (D, anti-codon, and T loops). Further hydrogen bonds mediate the characteristic L-shaped molecular structure. tRNAs have two regions of fundamental functional importance: the anti-codon, which is responsible for specific mRNA codon recognition, and the 3' end, to which the tRNAs corresponding amino acid is attached (by aminoacyl-tRNA synthetases). tRNAs cope with the degeneracy of the genetic code in two manners: having more than one tRNA (with a specific anti-codon) for a particular amino acid; and 'wobble' base-pairing, i.e. permitting non-standard base-pairing at the 3rd anti-codon position. The record is from Rfam by way of RNAcentral. Lineage: Eukaryota; Metazoa; Arthropoda; Arachnida; Araneae; Nephilidae.
GUCCCUUUAGGGCAAUGGACACCGCGUUGGACUUCAAAUCCAAAGGUCGUGGGUUCGAAUCCCACCAGGGAUG